RNAcentral lists this ribosomal RNA (483 nucleotides) under uncultured bacterium. RNAcentral describes it as "bacterial SSU rRNA". It matches the Rfam family "Bacterial small subunit ribosomal RNA", at positions 28 to 508 of the family's 1533-position model. The record is from RNAcentral.
AUUGAACGCUGGCGGAAUGCUUUACACAUGCAAGUCGAGCGGCAGCGCGGGGCAACCUGGCGGCGAGCGGCGAACGGGUGAGUAAUGCAUCGGAACAUGUCCAUUCGUGGGGGAUAGCCCGGCGAAAGCCGGAUUAAUACCGCAUACGCCCUGAGGGGGAAAGUGGGGGACCGCAAGGCCUCACGCGAUUGGGUUGGCCGAUGUCCGAUUAGCUAGUUGGCGGGGUAAGAGCCCACCAAGGCGAUGAUCGGUAGCUGGUCUGAGAGGAUGAUCAGCCACACUGGGACUGAGACACGGCCCAGACUCCUACGGGAGGCAGCAGUGGGGAAUUUUGGACAAUGGGGGAAACCCUGAUCCAGCCAUUCCGCGUGGAGGACGAAGGUCUUCGGAUCGUAAACUCCUGUCAGGUGGGGCGAAGGUUGCAGGGCAAAUAGUCUUGCAGCUUGACGGUACCACCAGAGGAAGCCCCGGCUAACUCCGUGC